RNAcentral lists this ribosomal RNA (487 nucleotides) under uncultured bacterium. Its description in RNAcentral is "partial 16S ribosomal RNA". It matches the Rfam family "Bacterial small subunit ribosomal RNA", at positions 30 to 523 of the family's 1533-position model. The record is from RNAcentral.
AUUGAACGCUGGCGGCAGGCUUAACACAUGCAAGUCGAGCGGGGACUUCGGUCCUAGCGGCGAACGGGUGAGGAAUGCUUGGGAAUCUGCACUGUAGUGGGGGAUAACGUUUCGAAAGGAACGCUAAUACCGCAUACGUCCUAAGGGAGAAAGGGGGGGAUCUUCGGACCUCCCGCUAUAAGAUGAGCCCAAGUCGGAUUAGCUGGUUGGGGGGGUUAAGGCUCACCAAGGCGACGAUCCGUAGCUGGUCUGAGAGGAUGAUCAGCCACACUGGAACUGAGACACGGUCCAGACUCCGACGGGAGGCAGCAGUGGUGAAUAUUGGACAAUGGGCGAAAGCCUGAUCCAGCCAUGCCGCGUGUGUGAAGAAGGCCUUCGGGUUGUAAAGCACUUAAGCGAGGAGGAAUGGCUCUGGGUUAAUACCCUUGAGCAGUGACGUUACUCGCAGAAUAAGCACCGGCUAACUCUGUGCCAGCCGCCGCAGUAA